AUAUUACAUGGUGUCAGAAGUGGAGGCUACAAGGCUUCGGAAGCAGCGUGUAGCUUUCUUCUCCCUUGGGGCAGCUGAGUACUGUGGAAAAGAAGGACCACACCCAGAGACCUGAGGCCUGGUCUCAAUUUAACAGCAGAAGAAUCACUAGCUUCCUCAGCACAAAGGCCCUGGGCUCAAUUUUUCCCAACAAUGACUUGGCCAGUCCUACUGAAGGUCAGCGCUACCCACUAUUUGCUCACUUUGGGGAAUUUUGAAGCACCUGGAUGUCUCUAGAUCUCCACAACAUCUAUCCUCAGUCUUAACAUCUGCUGGACCCCAGCAACAAGCAAAGGUGGGCAAAGAACACCCUACACAUCACUUACGUCAGCUGCUGCCAUUUACUGUGUCAGAGAGCCAGCAAACACAUGCCUCCCCAUCACAAGCAAUUGGAAGUCCAUAGCUUUCAUCAGAUUCCCAAAAAAGGUUAAGAAUCACUGGCUAGAGUGAACGCACAAGUACUUGGACUCCCAGAGAAGAGACUGUAGCUGCUGGAUUCCUCCCUGGUCCUGCUGCUGUACACUAAGGUAUGGUUUGGUUUAGCUGCCAUCUGGCUCAUUAGGUAUC
Molecule: long non-coding RNA, 606 nt
Organism: Rhineura floridana
Lineage: Eukaryota; Metazoa; Chordata; Lepidosauria; Squamata; Rhineuridae
Exons: 3
Source: RefSeq, a predicted model, not a curated record